UUUUUUUUUUUUAAUCUUUUCUAGGGGUUGAGUAGGAGCUGUAGCCACCGGCCCAUGCCACAGCCACAGCAACACGGGAUCUGAGCCACAUCUUUGACCUAUGCCACAGCUCAGAACAACACCAGAUUCUUAACCCACUGAGUGAGGCCAGGGAUUGAACUCACGUCCUCAUGGAUACUAGUCAGGUUCAUUAACCGCUGAGCCAUGAUGGGAACUCCUAGAAAUUCUAUAUAGAAAUGAAUGUAUCUUUGGCAAUCUUUUUCUUCACUACACCUCUUCUGUCUAAAAGUGGACAUUUUAGAAAACUUGUGAGUUCUUAAUUGGAGAAAACAAAGAAAUUGUAAAGAGUAGCACCAGCCUAGAAGACACUCUUUGCUGCAGGGUUGAUUAUGCAGCCCUCCUUUGAAUUUCUUCACUCCCCUUUUUUAUGUGGCUUAAAAUCCCACUGAUUAUAAAGAUUCACUUGGUUCCCAGGCAUACUCUUCUAAAAAUGUCAAUUUUUUAAAAAGAGGUAAAGUUAUUAGUCAUUUAAAAAUCAGUGCCAAUUACUUUAAUCAGAUUGCUUUCCUAUUGGCUGUGAUACAACUUCACUGAAUGGAAGGUAUUUAUUUUUCUAGCUUUUCUUCUCACUUGAGAAAUAAAACACAAUGGGGGUGAAAAAUUCAAUCCGAACAAAAAGAUUUACUGUUUAAAUAAGUCUCCUUUUCACCCCAAAUCCAAUAUUCUUUUCCUCGUCAAUGUAACAAUUACCAAACAUUUCUGGUGACUAUUUUAUCUAGAGAUAUAUUCUGCAUGCAGAGUCAUACAUAGGUAUUAACACACAUAUACACACAGCACAGUUAUAUAAAAAUCCUUUUGUUUUAUCCAAAUGAUUAUAUAUUAUGUACAUUAUUUUGUACCCUUCAAUUUUUUUCAAAAUAUCAUUGAAGAACUUUUUAAAUCAGCAUAUAUACCAGCUACAGUCUUAAAAAUCCCUGUUAAAGUAUAUAUAGUGAGGAAAGUAGUUCUAUAUUUUUGGAAGCAUAGAGAAUUUUGUGUUAAUAUUUUAUUAUGAAGGCAACAGUGUCCUGGGGCCUAUGAAGUUAAACUUUAAGAGAAAGAAGAAGAAUGGUGUGGCCUGGGAUAUUAAUUCCCAUGUAUGACAUUUUUCCCAUAGAAAAUAAUCCUCUGAGUUCCUAACAAUUGGCAAUGUAUCUGGAUUUCCCUAGGAUAGCCCCCAUUUAUGCUUGCUGUUCUGGUGUUAUUUUUGAUCACUUUCCUUCUCAAAGUGGUCCUGGACUGGAUGACAAUUAUGCAAUCACCAUUGCGAUAACUAAUUGACAAAUUAAGUCGUUGGGAUCAGCAGCAAAGAUUAAAAAGGAAGCCUAAACCACCUGACAGUGGGGGUUUUUCUACUUGGGACCUGGCUUUAGCUACUUAGGAGCAGUAUGAUCUGGGUAAGCUAUUUAACUGUUUUUGCCUCAGUUCCCUCAGCUUUCUAAAGGGAAUAACUGCCUCAUAGUGGAACAAUAAACAUUUAAUUAAGAAUUGCCCUUGAGGAGCUUAUCACAAUGUCUGGUUCAUAUUUAGGGCUCAAUAAAUGUACCUGCUUAUAUUACUUAUUAUUUUCACCAUUUCCCCCUUCCCUGCCAGACUACUUUAUUCUGUGUAAAAAUGUGUAAAAUUCUGAUGGAACAUGAUGGAGGAUAAUGUGAGAAAAGGAAUGUAUAUGUAUGCAUGACUAGGUCACUUUGCUGUACAGCAGAAACUGACAGAAUAUUAUAAAUCAACGAUAAUAAUUUUUUUAAAUGUAUAAAGUUCUAUUGACUGAGAUACAUUUAGGUGAACAGCCAUCAUCCCCCAACAAAGGGUCGUGGUCUAGCCAUUUAAGAAAAACAAGGUGAGGGCGGGACAGUGAUUGUUUCUGAAGGGGCUCAUCAGCCCGCCCACCCUCAGCCCCACAGCAGACUGGAAAGCGAGGUCGAGUUUGAAGGGAGACAGCCCUUUGUACUUUAGACUUGAUAAAGAUUUUUAUAGUAGAUAUUUUUAAUUUUAACAACAUUAGAAAAGGAUGUGUAUGUUUUCUCAAGCAAAGAGGAAAUGCAUUUGAAAUGAUAGAGUUAAACCGCUGUCGCCGUUUGUACAUCACAAGUGGAGCCGCCUGAAUCUCUGGUUAAUGGAGUCACUUCAGAGAGAGGGCUCAGGAGAACUUACAACCAAUCAUGUAAAAUGAUACAUCUCAGUAUCCUGUUUAUUAUCUCCCCUCAAAGCAUCACUGAGUGGAUCUCCCUCUGGCUGAAGCUACAUACCAAACAGUGGACAGGACAAUUGUUUGUUCAACCUGGAAACUCCUGAGGCAUUUUAGGGUAGGAGAAAGGAACUUUUUUCUUUUUUCUCCUAGUUUUUAGGGCUGCUCCUGCAGCAUAUGGAGGUUCCCAGGCUAGUGGGUGAAUCUGAGCUACAGCUGCCAGCCCACACCACAGCCACAGCAACGCCAGAUCCGAGCCAGGUCUGUAACCUACACCACAGCUCACAGCGACACAGGAUCCUUAACCCACUGAGGGAGACCAGGGAUUGAACCCUCAUCCUUGUGAAUACUAGUUGGGUUCUUAACCCACUGAGGCACAGUGGGAACUCUGAAAGGAACUUUGACUCAGGGUAGGAGUGGAGUGGGAGGAUGGAGCUACAGAAGGAGCAGGAACAGGUAUUUUCUCUUUGUAUUCAUUUUCUUAAAAUUGAAUUAGGUUUCUGUGAAAAGCUGUUUUGUUGAGUAACAACCUCUCUUUGGUUUCACAAGCUGAGACAUAAAAUGCUACUUGGGGUGUGCUGUAGGUUCUGAAUGCAGGUGAAAAUGCCCUACUUACUGGUUAUUUUAAUGAUAAUAAGAAUAAUGUUUUGUACAUAACUGGACCCACUUAUACCAGGGAUCC
Molecule: long non-coding RNA, 2909 nt
Filed under: Sus scrofa (pig)
Lineage: Eukaryota; Metazoa; Chordata; Mammalia; Artiodactyla; Suidae
Description: lncRNA (ENSSSCG00050041313.1)
Source: RNAcentral